CUGAAAAGCACUUGCUGCCUUCCAUCAAGAGGCAGAACAGAGAGAGAGAGAGAAUUUGGCUCUGUCGUAGUAAUGCAGGGUGAGGGAUGCAGGACAGAGGAGUGUGGCAGAAGCACUAGGAUGAUAAUUUUUGCACAGCUAGAAAUGCAGUGAGUAACCUAGUCUGUAAUUUAUACAAUUUGUGUCUUCUCCUUCUGUCAUUGGUUCUUUUUCUUUACAUCUCACCUUAAAGAUACUGUCUUUUGUAUGUAACCUGGGAUGCCACCAGCAUCCAGAAAAGCUGUGAUAUGGUCUGUACUUAAACAAGAAAAUGUCUUCAAAGCAGAAUGGGAAGUGAUGGACAGUUCAGAUUCUCAAAGAGACAAGACUUGCUUGGAUUUGUUCUACUUCACUUUUCUCUUCGUUGUCUGCAGAAAGAUCCUAGUGUGACUUGGAUGCUUGGAUGUAAAUGAAUAUCUUGCAGCAGUUACACAAAACUGAUGCGGUAACAACAACCCAGAGCCUGCUCUGCCAACAGCCCAUCUCCUUCUCCAAAGCUUCACCACCCAUGUGGGCCCUGACCUUUGACGUCUGCAGAUGGACCUCGCGCUCCUCAGCUCACACCUGUUGGUAGCCAGAGCCAACAAGAGUCAGGAGCAGCACCAGAAGAUCUCUUGGGAUAAGGAUGCUUAUGCCACCAAUUGGCUACAGCCACCCAAAGGGCAGAGAUUGGAGGAGGCACUGUGGUGAAUUUUUAAUUUGUUGUGGAUACAGAAGACAAGAGUUGGAACUGCUGUUCUGGAGAAGAUCUGUUAGCCAGAGCCCAACUAGGAACCAGUGGAGAAGCAGCUGAAGAACAAGAAAGCUUUAGGACAGGUGCACAGAGAAUCAAUAUGAACACAUAAAUAUCUACAUUGAGAGGAAACAAAACACGUAUGGGUUUGGUUUUGUUUGUUUGUUUUUGGGUUUGUUUGUUUUUGUUUUUGUUUGUCUUGAAAUAAGAAUGAAUAGAUUUAUUUACCACUGGUUUCAAGCUCUCACAAUGGAUUUAUCACCUGAAUUAAAAAUGCUGAAAAACUUCAAAAGAAUGUUUUUAUUGUUUUUGUCUCUAAAUAAAUGCAUAGCUGUGACUAUAACUUCAGCAAUGCCUUUGUAUAAACCCUGAAGAUACACAGCUGCCUGUUCUAGCCCCAAAAUAUUUUGUUUACAGUAGAAUGAAAUUUGUCAUGCAAAGAAAUCUUUACAUUUUUGUUUUGGCAUGUUUAUCAGUUAAAUUAACUUCUGACAAUAAACAUAAUCAUUCAUCUGUGGAAAAUGCCUACAUAAACUAAUGUACGAUAUCUUUAGGAGUAUUUAUAAUAUAUCUCCAGAGUGUUUCCGGGGUUUCUUGCCCCAGUUGAUCUUAUUUUGAGGUAUGCACUGGGGAGAUCUCACCUGGAGUACUGUGUCCAGGUGUGGAGUCUUCAGUGCAGGAGAGACAUGGACCUGUUGGAGUGUGCCCAGAGGAGGGCCACAAAAAUGAUUCAAGGGAUGGAACACCUCUCCUACAUGGACAGGCUGAGAGAGCUUGGGCUGUUCAGCCUGGAAAAGAGAAGGCUCCAGAAAAACCUGAUAGCAGCCUUUACGUAUUUAAAGGGGAGCAACAGGAAAAAAGGGGACAGACUCUUCAGCAGGGUCUGUUGCUACAGGACAAGGGGAAAUGGCUUCAAGAUCAAAGAGGGUAGAUUUAGGUUAGAUAUAAGGAAAAAGUAUUUUACAGUAAGGAUGGUGAGGCACUGGAACAGAUUGCCCAGUGAUAUCGUUGAUGCCCCAUCCCUGGAGACUUUAAAGGCGAGACUGGAUCAGUCUCUGGGCAAUCCGAUCUAGCUGUGCAUGUCCCUGUUCAUUGCAGGGGAGCUGGGCUAGAUGAUUUUAAUGGUCCCUUCCAACUCUAAGGAAUCUAUGAUUCUAUAAUACUUCACAGCUAUGAGAAGUAUUACAAAGGAAGCUAAAAUAGAUAAAGGUAGAAGGAUUCUGAAACAGUAAAAUUUGUGCAUGUACUCUGUAGAAACAGAAGUACAGCUUGAUCAUGCUUUUGGAGGUUGUGUUUCAAGUCUGGAAGUAAUUCCCUUUGGAAUUACAAAUUAUGCCAUGUUUUUACUUCAGGUUACUGAAUGUGGCAUUAUCUUCAUAAUCUGUUGCUAAUCAAAC
This 2169-nucleotide long non-coding RNA is filed under the name Gallus gallus (chicken). The record is from RNAcentral. Lineage: Eukaryota; Metazoa; Chordata; Aves; Galliformes; Phasianidae.